This is a long non-coding RNA of Vidua macroura (Pin-tailed whydah), 389 nucleotides long. RefSeq lists it as uncharacterized. Lineage: Eukaryota; Metazoa; Chordata; Aves; Passeriformes; Viduidae. The transcript has 3 exons. The record is from RefSeq and is a predicted model, not a curated record.
CUGGAACCCGGCCCGCGCCGCCAUCUUGUCUCGCACAAAGGGAGCGGAACCGGAAACGGCCGCGCACGGCGCGCGGAGCGCCGGGGAGUUUCCUGUGCUCAGAGAGAAAAGGGACACAAAUACAGUCAGCAUUAAUCUAUGGAAAAAGCCAAGUGCGUAGUCACACCACGAGUAUUAAUUAAACAAUUAAUGAUGAUCAUCUGAUGAAUGCUGCCUCCAGCCUGGAGGUCCCACCAUAGGGAGGACAUGGAGCUGCUGGAGUGAGUCAGGAGGCACCAGGAUGAUCAAGGGAUGGAGCAGCUCUGCUGUGAGGAAAGGUGAGCCUCAAGGUCAAAUUCCAGCCCCAUCUUUAAAAGCUUGAAUGGGAAAGAGAAAGAAAGAAAAUAAAU